Molecule: ribosomal RNA, 646 nt
Filed under: Malassezia furfur
Lineage: Eukaryota; Fungi; Basidiomycota; Malasseziomycetes; Malasseziales; Malasseziaceae
Description: LSU rRNA
Rfam family: Eukaryotic large subunit ribosomal RNA
Source: RNAcentral
UUGCAUUUUUCAUAGCGGAGGAAAAGAAACUAACAAGGAUUCCCCUAGUAACGGCGAGUGAAGAGGGAAGAGCUCAAAUUUGAAAGCUGGUACCUUCGGUAUCCGCGUUGUAACCUCGAGACACGUUUUCCGUGCGGCGCUAUGGACAAGUUCCUUGGAACAGGACAUCGUAGAGGGUGAAAAUCCCGUACUUGCCAUGGAUGUACCGUGCUUUGCGAUACGUGCUCUAAGAGUCGAGUUGUUUGGGAUUGCAGCUCAAAAUGGGUGGUAGACUCCAUCUAAAGCUAAAUAUCGGGGAGAGACCGAUAGCGAACAAGUACCGUGAGGGAAAGAUGAAAAGCACUUUGGAAAGAGAGUUAAAAGUACGUGAAAUUGUCGAAAGGGAAGCGCUUGAAGUCAGCCAUGCCGCUCAGGACUCAGCCUGGCUUUUGCUUGGUGUAUUUCCUGGGUAGCAAGUCAGCAUUGGUUUGGAUCGUCGGAGAAGCAUAGUCGGAAUGUGGCGCCCUCGGGCGUGUUAUAGCCUUCUAUUGGAUACGACGAUCUAGACCAAGGAACGCAGCGCGCCUUAUGGCGGGUCUUCGGACACCUUCGCGCUUAGGAUGCUGGCGUAAUGGCUUUAAGUGGCCCGUCUUGAACCCGGGACCAU